Molecule: ribosomal RNA, 520 nt
Filed under: uncultured Glomus
Lineage: Eukaryota; Fungi; Glomeromycota; Glomeromycetes; Glomerales; Glomeraceae
Description: SSU rRNA
Rfam family: Eukaryotic small subunit ribosomal RNA
Source: RNAcentral
AGCAGCCGCGGUAAUUCCAGCUCCAAUAGCGUAUAUUAAAGUUGUUGCAGUUAAAAAGCUCGUAGUUGAAUUUCGGGAUCAAAUUGUCGGUCGUGCCUCGGUACGUACUGGCGUUAUUGGUUCCUCCCUUCUGAAGAACCGCGAUGUCAUUAAUUUGGUGUCGCGGGGAAUCAGGACUGUUACUUUGAAAAAAAUUAGAGUGUUUAAAGCAGGCUCGCGCUUGAAUACAUUAGCAUGGAAUAAUGAAAUAGGACGUUUGAUUCUAUUUUGUUGGUUUCUAGGAUCGACGUAAUGAUUAAUAGGGAUAGUUGGGGGCAUUAGUAUUCAAUUGUCAGAGGUGAAAUUCUUGGAUUUAUUGAAGACUAACUACUGCGAAAGCAUUUGCCAAGGAUGUUUUCAUUAAUCAAGAACGAAAGUUAGGGGAUCGAAGACGAUCAGAUACCGUCGUAGUCUUAACCAUAAACUAUGCCGACUAGGGAUCGGAUGAUGUUAAUUUUUUAAUGACUCAUUCGGCGCCUUA